This 252-nucleotide ribosomal RNA is filed under the name uncultured bacterium. RNAcentral describes it as "partial 16S ribosomal RNA". It matches the Rfam family "Bacterial small subunit ribosomal RNA", at positions 57 to 305 of the family's 1533-position model. The record is from RNAcentral.
GCAAGUCGAACGGUAACAGCGGGAGCUUGCUCCUGGCUGACGAGUGGCGGACGGGUGAGUAACGCGUAGGAAUCUGCCCAUUAGUGGGGGACAACCCGGGGAAACUCGGGCUAAUACCGCAUACGCCCUACGGGGGAAAGAGGGGGACCUUUCGGGGCCUCUUGCUAUUGGAUGAGCUUGCGUAGGAUUAGCUUGUUGGUGAGGUAAGAGCUCACCAAGGCGACGAUCCUUAGCUGGUCUGAGAGGAUGAUC